GGGGAAUUUUGGACAAUGGGGUCAACCCUGAUCCAGCCAUGCCGCGUGAGUGAAGAAGGCCUUCGGGUUGUAAAGCUCUUUCGGCCGGGAAGAAAUCGUGCAGGCUAAUACCCUGUAUGGAUGCCGGUACCGGAAUAAGAAGCACCGGCUAACUACGUGCCAGCAGCCGCGGUAAUACGUAGGGUGCGAGCGUUAAUCGGAAUUACUGGGCGUAAAGCGUGCGCAGGCGGUUUUGUAAGACAGGCGUGAAAUCCCCGGGCUCAACCUGGGAACUGCAUCCAUAACUGCCUGACUAGAGUACGGUAGAGGGUGGUGGAAUUUCCUGUGUAGCGGUGAAAUGCGUAGAUAUAGGAACACCGAUGGCGAAGGCAGCCCCCUGGGCCGAUACUGACGCUCAUGCACGAAAGCGUGGGUAGCAAACA
RNAcentral lists this ribosomal RNA (422 nucleotides) under uncultured Rhodocyclaceae bacterium. RNAcentral's name for it is "bacterial SSU rRNA". It matches the Rfam family "Bacterial small subunit ribosomal RNA", at positions 356 to 774 of the family's 1533-position model. The record is from RNAcentral. Lineage: Bacteria; Pseudomonadati; Pseudomonadota; Betaproteobacteria; Rhodocyclales; Rhodocyclaceae.